Molecule: ribosomal RNA, 478 nt
Filed under: uncultured bacterium
Lineage: Bacteria
Description: partial 16S ribosomal RNA
Rfam family: Bacterial small subunit ribosomal RNA
Source: RNAcentral
GACGAACGCUGGCGGCGUGCUUAACACAUGCAAGUCGAACGGUAAGGCCCUUCGGGGUACACGAGUGGCGAACGGGUGAGUAACACGUGGGUGAUCUGCCCUGCACUUCGGGAUAAGCCUGGGAAACUGGGUCUAAUACCGGAUAGGACCACUGCCUGCAUGGGUGGUGGUGGAAAGCUUUUGCGGUGUGGGAUGGGCCCGCGGCCUAUCAGCUUGUUGGUGGGGUGAUGGCCUACCAAGGCGACGACGGGUAGCCGGCCUGGGAGGGUGACCGGCCACACUGGGACUGAGAUACGGCCCAGACUCCUACGGGAGGCAGCAGUGGGGAAUAUUGCACAAUGGGCGUAAGCCUGAUGCAGCGACGCCGCGUGAGGGAUGACGGCCUUCGGGUUGUAAACCUCUUUCAGCACCGACGAAGCGCAAGUGACGGUAGGUGCAGAAGAAGGACCGGCCAACUACGUGCCAGCCGCCGCCAUAA